ACCUGAAACCGUGUACGUACAAGCAGUGGGAGCCUCUUUUAUGGGGUGACUGCGUACCUUUUGUAUAAUGGGUCAGCGACUUAUAUUCUGUAGCAAGGUUAACCGAAUAGGGGAGCCGAAGGGAAACCGAGUCUUAACCGGGCGUUAAGUUGCAGGGUAUAGACCCGAAACCCGGUGAUCUAGCCAUGGGCAGGUUGAAGGUUGGGUAACACUAACUGGAGGACCGAACCGACUAAUGUUGAAAAAUUAGCGGAUGACUUGUGGCUGGGGGUGAAAGGCCAAUCAAACCGGGAGAUAGCUGGUUCUCCCCGAAAGCUAUUUAGGUAGCGCCUCGUGAAUUCAUCUCCGGGGGUAGAGCACUGUUUCGGCAAGGGGGUCAUCCCGACUUACCAACCCGAUGCAAACUGCGAAUACCGGAGAAUGUUAUCACGGGAGACACACGGCGGGUGCUAACGUCCGUCGUGAAGAGGGAAACAACCCAGACCGCCAGCUAAGGUCCCAAAGUCAUGGUUAAGUGGGAAACGAUGUGGGAAGGCCCAGACAGCCAGGAUGUUGGCUUAGAAGCAGCCAUCAUUUAAAGAAAGCGUAAUAGCUCACUGGUCGAGUCGGCCUGCGCGGAAGAUGUAACGGGGCUAAACCAUGCACCGAAGCUGCGGCAGCGACACUGUGUGUUGUUGGGUAGGGGAGCGUUCUGUAAGCCUGUGAAGGUGUACUGUGAGGUAUGCUGGAGGUAUCAGAAGUGCGAAUGCUGACAUAAGUAACGAUAAAGCGGGUGAAAAGCCCGCUCGCCGGAAGACCAAGGGUUCCUGUCCAACGUUAAUCGGGGCAGGGUGAGUCGACCCCUAAGGCGAGGCCGAAAGGCGUAGUCGAUGGGAAACAGGUUAAUAUUCCUGUACUUGGUGUUACUGCGAAGGGGGGACGGAGAAGGCUAUGUUGGCCGGGCGACGGUUGUCCCGGUUUAAGCGUGUAGGCUGGUUUUCCAGGCAAAUCCGGAAAAUCAAGGCUGAGGCGUGAUGACGAGGCACUACGGUGCUGAAGCAACAAAUGCCCUGCUUCCAGGAAAAGCCUCUAAGCAUCAGGUAACAUCAAAUCGUACCCCAAACCGACACAGGUGGUCAGGUAGAGAAUACCAAGGCGCUUGAGAGAACUCGGGUGAAGGAACUAGGCAAAAUGGUGCCGUAACUUCGGGAGAAGGCACGCUGAUAUGUAGGUGAAGUCCCUCGCGGAUGGAGCUGAAAUCAGUCGAAGAUACCAGCUGGCUGCAACUGUUUAUUAAAAACACAGCACUGUGCAAACACGAAAGUGGACGUAUACGGUGUGACGCCUGCCCGGUGCCGGAAGGUUAAUUGAUGGGGUCAGCGCAAGCGAAGCUCUUGAUCGAAGCCCCGGUAAACGGCGGCCGUAACUAUAACGGUCCUAAGGUAGCGAAAUUCCUUGUCGGGUAAGUUCCGACCUGCACGAAUGGCGUAAUGAUGGCCAGGCUGUCUCCACCCGAGACUCAGUGAAAUUGAACUCGCUGUGAAGAUGCAGUGUACCCGCGGCAAGACGGAAAGACCCCGUGAACCUUUACUAUAGCUUGACACUGAACAUUGAGCCUUGAUGUGUAGGAUAGGUGGGAGGCUUUGAAGUGUGGACGCCAGUCUGCAUGGAGCCGACCUUGAAAUACCACCCUUUAAUGUUUGAUGUUCUAACGUGGACCCGUGAUCCGGGUUGCGGACAGUGUCUGGUGGGUAGUUUGACUGGGGCGGUCUCCUCCUAAAGAGUAACGGAGGAGCACGAAGGUUGGCUAAUCCUGGUCGGACAUCAGGAGGUUAGUGCAAUGGCAUAAGCCAGCUUGACUGCGAGCGUGACGGCGCGAGCAGGUGCGAAAGCAGGUCAUAGUGAUCCGGUGGUUCUGAAUGGAAGGGCCAUCGCUCAACGGAUAAAAGGUACUCCGGGGAUAACAGGCUGAUACCGCCCAAGAGUUCAUAUCGACGGCGGUGUUUGGCACCUCGAUGUCGGCUCAUCACAUCCUGGGGCUGAAGUAGGUCCCAAGGGUAUGGCUGUUCGCCAUUUAAAGUGGUACGCGAGCUGGGUUUAGAACGUCGUGAGACAGUUCGGUCCCUAUCUGCCGUGGGCGCUGGAGAACUGAGGGGGGCUGCUCCUAGUACGAGAGGACCGGAGUGGACGCAUCACUGGUGUUCGGGUUGUCAUGCCAAUGGCACUGCCCGGUAGCUAAAUGCGGAAGAGAUAAGUGCUGAAAGCAUCUAAGCACGAAACUUGCCCCGAGAUGAGUUCUCCCUGACCCUUUAAGGGUCCUGAAGGAACGUUGAAGACGACGACGUUGAUAGGCCGGGUGUGUAAGCGCAGCGAUGCGUUGAGCUAACCGGUACUAAUGAACCGUGAGGCUUAACCUUACAACGCCGAAGGUGUUU
This 2414-nucleotide ribosomal RNA is filed under the name Escherichia coli. Its description in RNAcentral is "partial 23S ribosomal RNA". It matches the Rfam family "Bacterial large subunit ribosomal RNA", at positions 548 to 2925 of the family's 2925-position model. The record is from RNAcentral. Lineage: Bacteria; Pseudomonadati; Pseudomonadota; Gammaproteobacteria; Enterobacterales; Enterobacteriaceae.